AUACGGAGGGUGCAAGCGUUACUCGGAAUCACUGGGCGUAAAGCGCGCGCAGGCGGCCUCUUAAGUUGGAUGUGAAAGCCUACGGCUCAACCGUAGAACUGCAUCCAAAACUAUCAGGCUAGAGUGUGGGAGAGGAAGAUGGAAUUAGUUGUGUAGGGGUAAAAUCCGUAGAGAUAACUAGGAAUACCAAAAGCGAAGGCAAUCUUCUGGAACAUUACUGACGCUGAGGCGCGAAAGCGUGGGGAGCAAACAGGAUUAGAAACCCCGGUAGUCC
This 274-nucleotide ribosomal RNA is filed under the name uncultured bacterium. Its description in RNAcentral is "partial 16S ribosomal RNA". It matches the Rfam family "Bacterial small subunit ribosomal RNA", at positions 523 to 796 of the family's 1533-position model. The record is from RNAcentral.